This 253-nucleotide ribosomal RNA is filed under the name uncultured bacterium. RNAcentral's name for it is "partial 16S ribosomal RNA". It matches the Rfam family "Bacterial small subunit ribosomal RNA", at positions 524 to 776 of the family's 1533-position model. The record is from RNAcentral.
UACGGAGGGUCCAAGCGUUGUCCGGAAUCACUGGGUGUAAAGGGUGCGCAGGCGGGCCUGUAAGUCAGAGGUGAAAGCCACCGGCCUAACCGGUGAACUGCCUUUGAUACUGCAGGUCUUGAGUCCCGGAGAGGCUAUCGGAAUUCGUGGUGUAGCGGUGAAAUGCGUAAAUAUCACGAGGAACACCGGAUGCGUAAGCGGAUAGCUGGACGGGUACUGACGCUCAGGCACGAAAGCGCGGGGAGCGAACAGG